Molecule: ribosomal RNA, 428 nt
Filed under: uncultured bacterium
Lineage: Bacteria
Description: bacterial SSU rRNA
Rfam family: Bacterial small subunit ribosomal RNA
Source: RNAcentral
UGGGGAAUAUUGCGCAAUGGGGGCAACCCUGACGCAGCGACGCCGCGUGUGUGAUGAAGGCCUUCGGGUCGUAAAGCACUGUCGAGUGGAAAGAGCGAAGUGCGGUCAAUACCCGCGCUGAUGACGGUACCACUUGAGGAAGCACCGGCUAACUCCGUGCCAGCAGCCGCGGUAAUACGGAGGGUGCAAGCGUUGUUCGGAAUCAUUGGGCGUAAAGGGCGCGUAGGCGGGUCGUUAAGUCCGACGUGAAAUCCCUCGGCUCAACUGAGGAAGUGCAUCGGAUACUGGCGGUCUUGAGUCCUGGAGAGGGUAGCGGAAUUCCCAGUGUAGAGGUGAAAUUCGUAGAUAUUGGGAGGAACACCGGUGGCGAAGGCGGCUACCUGGACAGUGACUGACGCUGAGGCGCGAAAGCAUGGGUAGCAAACAGG